Mercurialis annua (annual mercury) is the source of this 474-nucleotide long non-coding RNA. RefSeq lists it as uncharacterized. The transcript has 2 exons. The record is from RefSeq and is a predicted model, not a curated record. NCBI's taxonomy places the organism in Eukaryota, Viridiplantae, Streptophyta, Magnoliopsida, Malpighiales, Euphorbiaceae.
AAUUUCAAGGUUGCGGCUACAACAUCAAUGGGUUGCCGAUCCAUGGGUUUAUUGUCGAUGGCGGCGGCGAUGGGUUGUCGUGCCGCGGCUACAACGGCGAUAGGUUGCCGAAAUUGAAACCAAUCAAAGAUGAUUCGAACCAAUGGAGUCUAGCAGCGGAUAUGAGAUCCAAAGAAUGAUGUUUGUAUCCCAAAGAAUUUCCUUUUUGAGUUGAUGUGUUGAUUCCAAGUAUCUUAAAGAAUGGUACUGCUCACGCUUUGUAGAAGAUGAAGAUCGAAGAAAUUAUUGAAGAUGAUAAUGAGAUGGUCAAUUGAUUUUUGUGAAUUGAACAAGAGUGGUCUAUGCAUUUGAAGUGUCCACUACAUUUUCUUGUCUUUUGGUAUAAUUUUUGUUGUAACCAAUGGUCUAUGUAGUUGAAGUGUCGAUGUAACUUUGCACUUAUUCUAAUAAAAAUGACCUUAAAAUUAUGAAGAA